Molecule: non-coding RNA, 568 nt
Organism: Nicotiana tabacum (common tobacco)
Lineage: Eukaryota; Viridiplantae; Streptophyta; Magnoliopsida; Solanales; Solanaceae
Source: RefSeq, a predicted model, not a curated record
UACACAAGUGAUGACUAUGCUCUCAAUUCUCAUAGAAUUGUAUUGCUGCCUUCAGCAACUUAUUCACGCGCAAUAACAACAACAACAACAAUAAGCCCAGUAAAUUUCUACUACAGCCUUACCCAUACCUGAAAGGGUCUGUUUCCGAUAGACAAACAACUCAUUCACGCCCAUAUGCUUUAUUCCUUCAAAAAGCUUCAACUUCCAACAAUAGGCUCUGAAGCCCACGCUUUUGAUAUUGAGGGUAGAGUGCCUUACACUGGUCCCAGAUGGUAGAAUUGUUAAAUAACAAGGUCCAAACCUUGAUUUCCAAAAUUUGCCACCACCACACCAAACAGGUCAAAGGACUUAUGUAUUGGCAAAAAUGGAGAUGACCCAAAAGUAGGACCUAGACAUUGUUGAAGCAUUCAGGGGAAGUCAUGGCGGGAUUGCAACUCAACUGACUGGCAGCUUGAUGCAGUAGAUGUCGAUCCAAUUAUAGGAGAUAUUUUCUUUCCAACAUGUUUUGCAUCCUAAUCAAUCAACUGCGUCUCAAUUCCAAUUUAGUUGACAUGACAAUUUAGAACUA